RNAcentral lists this long non-coding RNA (274 nucleotides) under Capsicum annuum. RNAcentral's name for it is "long non-coding RNA (CANN_LNC002692)". The record is from RNAcentral. Lineage: Eukaryota; Viridiplantae; Streptophyta; Magnoliopsida; Solanales; Solanaceae.
UAAAAAAUGUGAAAAUAAAUCCUAUCUAACCUACUCUAAUCCUAACUACGCUCCUGUGCUUUACCCGAUGCCUUGGACCUUCAUCACGAAUGUCCCUCCAACAUAGUACUUCGGGGCAUUCCCCGAUGAAUAAAUACAAUGUGUCUCGGGGCAUUCCCCGGCUAAAUGAAUACAUUUGAAUUAAACACGAUAAACUAGAAAGAAACAUUCACAUGCACAUUCAAUCAUUCAACCAAAACAAGUUCUAAAAUUUGCCUACCCGAACCUAUAUUAC